RNAcentral lists this long non-coding RNA (965 nucleotides) under Anas platyrhynchos platyrhynchos (common mallard). Its description in RNAcentral is "lncRNA (ENSAPLG00000017877.1)". The record is from RNAcentral. Lineage: Eukaryota; Metazoa; Chordata; Aves; Anseriformes; Anatidae.
UAUGUCUCACACUAGUAGCAUAAAUAAGAUAUUCGAUGUAACUGGUGGAGGGAUAAGGCUAAUAAAAGUGUUGUUAAGACCCCUAGAAGAAACCCUGUUAGCCAGCUUGGGAGUCUUUUCCCAAAGCAAUAGUUCAUUUUAAGUUGUUUGUUUGUUUUGUUUGUUUGUGUGUUUUGUUUGUUUUUCCAGUGCUUGAAACAGGGACUCUGCCUCUUCUGGGAACUUUGAAAACAACUGCUGAGGGUAUUUCUACAGUUCUUGACAGUGAGCAAACAUCCCAAACAUUCUGUGGUUAUGGAUACUACAUUCCUAAUGUUCCCAGCAUUUUUGCUAUAUUCAUAGCAGAGAAAGGUAGGAAGUACUGUACAACAGAGAUUAUCCUAGUAUGAAUGACAGUUUAAUAGAGAUCCUGUUUAGUAGGUUAUUUUUUCCCUCCUUUCUUUCCAGACUACCUGGUUCUAAUACUUAAAACAUUUCGGUGGCAUCUGAAGUAAUUGCUAUUGGGAAAAUAAUAUUAAAUGAGCUUUUUUGUUUGUCUGUUUGUUUUUCCCAGGUUUUGUGUACAGACAGCAGCCUGAGGAAAUCUGUGGGAAUCAGGAGUACCCAGAGCCUUUUAAAAUCAAGUUUUCAAUGUCUUUCACUGGUUGUCACUGACAUUUAGCAGCUGGAAAUCUUGACUGGCAACUCUUUGAGUGGUCACAGGUUAUAGAAAACUAAUUGAGAACUUUAUCUACAUAGAACCUUCCAUUUAUCACUAUAACACAAUAUUUCCUCUUUUUAUUUCUUUAAGGAUAGGUUUUAUCUGCCUCUUGAUGUUAACUAGAGUUGUAGUGGUAUGCAAGUUGCUCUUCUGGUAUUAAGACAAAUGAGAGAACCAGAAUUUGUUUUUAACAUUGUUCUCUUUGCAGAAACAUUAUAUAACGAGUGUUGAAAUUAAAGUAAUAAAAUUCUCUCAAAUACUUUCA